Molecule: small nucleolar RNA, 139 nt
Filed under: Sorghum bicolor (sorghum)
Lineage: Eukaryota; Viridiplantae; Streptophyta; Magnoliopsida; Poales; Poaceae
Description: Small nucleolar RNA Z247
Rfam family: Small nucleolar RNA Z247
About the family: Z247 is a member of the C/D class of snoRNA which contain the C (UGAUGA) and D (CUGA) box motifs. Most of the members of the box C/D family function in directing site-specific 2'-O-methylation of substrate RNAs.
Source: Rfam by way of RNAcentral
AGGGUGGAAGAUGAAGAACUCGUGGCGUAUAUUCUCACAGGGCUUGGCGACGAGUUUGAGUCCGUUGUGUCUGCUGUCUCCACUCGUGUUGAGCCCAUCUCGGUCAAUGAGCUGUAUGCGCAGCUUGUGGCCUUCGAGC